RNAcentral lists this long non-coding RNA (824 nucleotides) under Microcebus murinus (gray mouse lemur). Its description in RNAcentral is "lncRNA (ENSMICG00000048270.1)". The record is from RNAcentral. Lineage: Eukaryota; Metazoa; Chordata; Mammalia; Primates; Cheirogaleidae.
CUUUUGACCUUUAGAAAUAUUAUGGUUUUUGCAAAUUAAGGCUACGUUUAGUUAUACUAACAGUUAUCCCUAAGUGUUCAUUUGGUAUUUUUUAACGUUUAAUGUAGAUAAACAUAUCACUGGCACUUUUUUUUUAGUUCUGUUCUCUGCAAUUUCCUGUGGUGUUCUUAAAUGUGCUGAAGGAUCUUGAAAAGAAGUCAGACUAGUGACCACUCCACCUCAUGACUUUCUAAAAAAGACUUCUAAUAUGAUGAAGUUCAGCAUGAUGUUUGCAUAUGUCCUAAAGUCAUAAGUAGCUGAAACGUUAAGACAUUAGUUGAUCAUGUUGCUAUUCUGGCAUGAGAUUUGGCGCAAUUUUUUUGAGGAACAAGGGAGAGGAAUAUAAUGAGUGAUGUCCACAAGGAAAAAGGAGAAAAGCACAGAGGGAUCUGAGAUACCCACACACAUCACACAUGAAUGAUCACCAAAAGCUGUUAUCAUAGAGCACAGUCCCUGACAUCACACAGCAGCAGAGAUGGAUAACUGAAGAAUAAUCUACUCUGAACUGAAUCUGGCCAAAAACCCAAAGAAGGAGCAAAGGAAACCUAAGGGUACUAAAAGAUCCAUUUCAGAAACUAAAUAGGAAAUAACCUAUAUGGAAUUAAACCUUCAAAAUGCUGCUCAAGAUCUCCAAGGGGAUGACAGAUCUUGCCAGUGCAAAGCAUAUCAUUGCAGUCAUUGUCCAGAGGAGUGGUUCACAUAUUCCACCAAUUGUUAUUCCAUUGGUAAGAAAUUCAGAACUUGGGAUGAGAGUGUGAUGGCCUGUGCUUCCAAGAACUCUAAUC